This 151-nucleotide ribosomal RNA is filed under the name Aeromonas hydrophila. RNAcentral describes it as "partial 16S ribosomal RNA". It matches the Rfam family "Bacterial small subunit ribosomal RNA", at positions 383 to 526 of the family's 1533-position model. Lineage: Bacteria; Pseudomonadati; Pseudomonadota; Gammaproteobacteria; Aeromonadales; Aeromonadaceae. The record is from RNAcentral.
CUGAUGCAGCCAUGCCGCGUGUGUGAAGAAGGCCUUCGGGUUGUAAAGCACUUUCAGCGAGGAGGAAAGGUCAGCAGCUAAUACCUGCUGGCUGUGACGUUACUCGCAGAAGAAGCACCGGCUAACUCCGUGCCAGCAGCCGCGGUAAUAC